Molecule: long non-coding RNA, 868 nt
Organism: Prunus dulcis (almond)
Lineage: Eukaryota; Viridiplantae; Streptophyta; Magnoliopsida; Rosales; Rosaceae
Exons: 3
Source: RefSeq, a predicted model, not a curated record
CAAGUGUAAAGGCCAUAAAACUCGUCUCCCACCGUCUUCGUUUGUUCCUCUUCUCUGUCUGUCAACAGAACAGCCGAAUGCUCCUCUGCAACAUUCUCAUUUCUAGUUGAAAGCGUUCAAGAAACGAAAAAGUUCCUCUUCUUCUCUGGGUUGGGCCUUUGGAUUGGCCAUCCAUGAGGUUGGUGCAACUUUUGGGUAUGCCACUUCAGUAAUAUAUGAAACUCCUAUUUCAAACAUAUAAGAGGGUGAAUUACUCUGGGACUUUAUACGAACGUGCACCAGAUAUUAGUGAGGUUGUUUCAGAUGUGUACAAAAUGCGACUCUCAUUGCAGCUGCAGAAAAGCUCAACUAAACUCAAAGGAAAAUAAGAAUACUGAUGAUUUCCCAUCCUUACUUUUUCCAAGAGGUUCUUCCCAGCUGUCAGCAGUCAGUUUAAUCUCUGAAAGUAGUGCACCUAAUGUCGUAUAUAAAAGGAGGAAAUUAUGAAGAAACUAUGUCACCAUAUUUUCAGAAGAUCCAGAAAAGGAAGAGAGGAAGAGAGAGAUCCUAACCACAAUUAUCAUAAUUUAUAUCAAAUUGAUCACAUUGAUCGCAAAUAGAAUUCCAAACCAGUUGACAACUCAUGCGAAAUUUUACCAUAGCCUUGCUUUUGGUAUAAUUUUUAGUUAAUGAUCAAUCCCAUGUGUAAUUCUUGUUUCUCUACUGCAACUAGUCAGUCCAAAUUAACAACUCUUCGGCCAAAUCCGGUUUUCAUUGCUUUCUUUCAGUUUAACUUGGUUUGUUUUCAUGUUAUGUAUCCACUCCAUAACAAGAUUUGUUGCUAUUACUUUUUUUAUAGUAGUGAUUCAGACUUUGUUAUUCUAUUUCA